Molecule: long non-coding RNA, 431 nt
Organism: Chelonoidis abingdonii (Abingdon island giant tortoise)
Lineage: Eukaryota; Metazoa; Chordata; Testudines; Testudinidae
Source: RefSeq, a predicted model, not a curated record
CAGCACUGAGCAUGGUGGGUUCCUCCAUGUUCUUGUUGGAAUGCUAAGCACAGGUGCUUAGUGAUUGCAUGAUCUAGCUGGGUGCAAAUGCCUCUGGAAAUUAGAGCUGUGGCUAUGACACCCUUAGAGCAAUUGAAAUGUUUUACGACUGUAUGGUUGUCAUGCUUGACCACAGGCUGAAUACUACGCUUCUCCACCUGGAUGCAUGUAACAUACAAACCACCAACACAGAAACACACAGGAAAAGGUAGAAGAACAGGAUUUAGACAGAGACAUCAUCAAUGAGAUGGCAAUAUGUGUUUAUUUAUGUUCCGCAUUUAAGAGCUUGUCUACACGGAGACUUUGAUUUAUACCCCAGCCUGCUGUGCACUAAGGCCUGGUUUACAUUGAAAUCGAUCUAAGUUACACAACUUCAGCCACGUGAAUAACAU